AGGAGAAGGAGGUUUGGGUCCCCAGUUCCAUGGAGGCUGGGCAUGGGGCCCUGGGCAGCUGGAGGUUUGCCUGUUGCUUAUACUCUACUCCCCAACCCUCCUAUACCUCCUCCCUGCCCCCUGACCAAUGCCCAAGGGAGCUUCAUGUGCUUGACUGCAGAUGGGUGAGCCCAGCAAAGGAAGUACCACCAUCAUCAUCCUCAUCUUAUAUUGCUCUUGCCUCUGCUUCAAAUUUUUCCCCAGGGAGGAAGAAAGAAGUCGGCCUGAGUGAUGGAUACAUUUGGAAAACGUGAGCAGUGUACCAGCUGUGGACCUCUCCCCUCCAGGAAGGGCUAAGUUGAUGGGGAAAGUUGUAUAUCUUGGAUAUUACACCCAAUUUGAUCGAGACAUUUUCCCAAUCAACAACUUCCCUUCUUAUCCUGGUUAUAUUAGUGCUGUUUAUGCAGAAGCUUUUCACUUAAAAGAAAAACAAAGUCAGGACAACUAUAACAUUCAGAAGAAAAAUACUUGUGGAUGAAGAUACCAUCUCUGAGAACAUUCCACUUACUACAGGCUUGCUUUCUGGGGAAGCACAUCUAGUCUCCGAACACUCAGAGGAAAAGAUACUUGUGCCUGAAAACACUGUUUCUGAAAACAUUCCUGUUACUACACAAUUGCUUUCUGGGGAAAUGCAUCGAGUCUCCAAACACUCAGAGGAAAAGAUACUUGUUGCAGGAGACACUGUCUCUGAGAACUUAACAGUUACUACAAAAUUACUUUCAGGGGAAUCACAUCUAGUCUUAAAACAUUCACCAGACGAGACAUUUGGGGUUGAAGACACUGUUUCUGAGAACAUUCCACUUACUAUAGGCUUGCUUUCUGGGGAAGCACAUCUAGUCUCUGAACACUGAGGAAAAAAUACUUGUGACAGGAGACACUGUCUCUGAGAACUUAACAGUUACUACAAAAUUACUUUCAGGGAAAUCGCAUCUAGUCUUAAAACAUUCACUAGACGAGACAUCUGGGGCUGGAGACACAGUCUCUGAGAACAUGCCGGUAACUAUAAAAUUGCUUUCUGCUGACACACAUCUAGUAUUAAAACAUUAUGAAGACAACACAUCCGGGGGCUGGAGACACUGUCUCUGAAAACAAACCGGUGACCACAGGCUUACUCCCAAUGGAGUAUAGUCCUUCAAGACAAAACGCAAUCUUUAUUGAAAUCGAAGACUUUCAAACAUUCCUGAUGAAAAGACCCGAGCUGAACAGAAAAUCACCUACAAGACUCAAGAGGACCCAAAAAAGGUAAACAUGAAAUAGAAAUCAUGAUGGACUCAAGAAGGUUAACUUGUGUAGAUUUCUAUAGGGGAAGAUGAUUUAUGCAUCUUCUCAAAAUUUUAUCAUUAUUAGGAAGUUACAAUGACUCUACAGAGACGAAGGGUCUGGGAUUGAGUGAUUAGGUUGAGAAGAUUAAAAAAGGAUAAGUGAGGGGCAGCUGGGUGGCACAGUGGAUAGAGCACCAGCCCUGGAGUCAGGAGUACCUGAGUUCAAAUCCAGCCUCAGACACUUAACAUUUACUAGCUGUGUGACUCUGGGCAAGGCACUUAACCCCAAUAGCCUCACUUAAAAAAAAAUGGAUAGGUGAGAAAGAGGGAUACAGUGGGAGAAGGGGAAAGAAAAAGACUGGGGGUUGGAAUUGUCUCACAUAAAAGAGGUGCCCCAGGAAGAACUUUAACAAUGGAAGGAAAAAGGGAGGGUGGGUUGGGCAACAUUUGAACCUCACUCACAUCUAAAGUGUUUCAGAAAGGAAAAAUAUAUUUGCAUACUCAAUUGGCAAUACAAGUUUAUCUUACCAACUAGGGAAGUAGGAUAAUAAAGGGGGUAAGAGAAAGGGGAGGGGGGGCGGCUAGGUGGCGCAGUGGAUAAAGCACCGGCUCCGGAUUCAGGAGUACCUGAGUUCAAAUCCAGCCUCAGACACUUGACACUUACUAACUGUGUGACCCUAGGCAAGUCACUUAACCCCCAUUGCCCCGCAAAAAAAAAAAAGAGAGAGAGAAAGGGGAGGCAGAACUGGGGGGCAGAUAAGAAAUGGCAGAGAAAAAGACACACACAGACUCAGACAGAGAGGGAGGGGGGACAUUGGGGAGGGAACAAGGGAGAGAGGAGAAAGUCUCCAAGAAAAGCAGAAGAGAAAAGCAGAAAGAACACCACCACCUCUGGAUCAGGACUUGGCUUGAGACCUUUGCCCAGUUCCACCCACCAGCAUGUCCAGCCCCAAGGGUCUCUCUUCCAUCCAGUUAAGCUCAGUUACUGCAUGUAUGUUGCAGGCCUCCACAACUGCCCAUCUUCCCCUGUCUGUGUCCAUCUCUGGUCCUCACUUAUCUGCCCUCCACCUGUUCUUCCUGUGAGAUACAGCCAGGUCCCCAAGUGGCUGGUCCUGGCACCCAUUGGUUUCUAGAUUUCUCCAGCUUUUUUCCCUCUCCCUCAU
This is a long non-coding RNA of Dromiciops gliroides (monito del monte), 2464 nucleotides long. RefSeq lists it as uncharacterized. Lineage: Eukaryota; Metazoa; Chordata; Mammalia; Microbiotheria; Microbiotheriidae. The transcript is spliced from 5 exons. The record is from RefSeq and is a predicted model, not a curated record.